RNAcentral lists this transfer RNA (91 nucleotides) under Actinoplanes cyaneus. RNAcentral's name for it is "tRNA-Arg". The record is from RNAcentral. Lineage: Bacteria; Bacillati; Actinomycetota; Actinomycetes; Micromonosporales; Micromonosporaceae.
UGUGUCCUGGCGCGGCGACGCGGCGCUGGGCGACGGCGCCGACGUCGGACGGGACCUGACCGGCGGCUGGUUCGACGCGGGCGACCACGUC